Sander lucioperca (pikeperch) is the source of this 2161-nucleotide long non-coding RNA. RefSeq lists it as uncharacterized. The record is from RefSeq and is a predicted model, not a curated record. Lineage: Eukaryota; Metazoa; Chordata; Actinopteri; Perciformes; Percidae. The transcript is spliced from 2 exons.
UUGCACACCCCUAACAACCACACUUCAACACAUCUGAACUAUCCCUUUUGAGACAGUCCGACUCGUAACUCCUCCGUAAUUUGUAGUUUUUGCUUUUGGAUAUUUGUACAGAUUAAAACAGACAAGAUAUAACAUGUUAAUCAGCUUUAGAGCUGCUGGUAGGUGGAUUCAUGUUACCCUUUUAACCAGAGUUCCCCUCCGUUUCCAACGCGAGUUCGGUGUCUAUCUGAACAUCUAACUCUCAGCAAGAAAGCGAAGAAGUGCAAACUUGAAAAAUGCCGAGCUAUCACUUUAACUCCUGCUAACGUUCCCACUCUUUCUCUUCGGCUCUGGUUUCCUUUUUUUAUGUUUUGUCUGUGAAGAUGUUUGUCCUCCAGCCCGCUGCACUGCACCGCACGCUGCUCCUCCUUUUUUAAAACAAAAGUUUAUAUAUAUAUAUAUAUAUAUAUGCUUUUUGUUUUUUGUCAUUUUUUUUAUACAGAUUGAUUGAAUUUGUUACUUUUUUGUGUAAAGAAAUGCAAAGAUGAAAAAAGAAAAGUGCAUAUGAAGUUAAAUGUUGCUUUUUGAAACGUCAUGUUCUUAUCAAAUGCCACGGUUCUUGUUUUAAAAAGAAAAACAAAGAUUGUAUGCAAAUGUUUUGGGCAAUAAUGGUAAUAUCUCUCAUCUGGCUGGUGGUUCUCGACGGACGGACGGACGGACGGACGGACGGGAUAUUGCGAUAACGAUAAAAAAGCGAUAUAUUGUGCAGCCCUAGAAAAUAUGCGUUAACGUUGUUGAAUGUCGCAAUAAUGAUAUAUUACUUGUGAUACUUGCUUUCAGUAUUCGGCUAAAAUACAACCAACUGCUUGUUGGAUUUAAAUCAAAUGAAAGGAAAUCAUUCCCAACUUUCUUCUAUUGAACAUUGAAUUUAUACAAAAUGCACCACUAAAGAAAGUGACAGUUACAUUUUAAUGUGCCGUUUUCGACUGAUAUUUUCUUUAAACGAACACAAAAAAGUGCGUGUCCCAGCCUUUUACGAUGUGUUAAUUGUGCCAGUUGAUAUCGCGAUGGCGAUCUAUAUUGUGCAGCCCUAAAAAGAUUUUCAUUUUUAUUAUUGUCGUAUUUUAGGUUAUUUUCUCGAUGAAUCAAAUUAUUUGUUGUACAAAUAUUUAAAUUGACAUUUAUUAUUUUAUUUUUUUAAAUAAUUUUUGGGACAUUUUAGCCUUUAAUAGACAGGAAAGAGGGUAGAGAGAGGGUGGGAAGACAUGCAGUAAAUGGCCGCAGGUCGGACUCGAACCCUGCGUUGAGGACUGAGCCUCUGCAUAAGGGCGCCCGCUCUACCACGUGAGCUACCCAGGCGCCCACAAAUUGACAUUUUGAUAUUGAAAAGACAAAGCCGAAAACCAACAAAAAACAAAGUACUUUUGAGCAAAAAAACAACAUUUUUCUGCUUUUUUGCUUUAAAAAAUAAUUUGGAACAAUGACCAAAAUAUCCAAAUAGGUGCAUAUUAAUUUUCGGUUGAUAUACUAAUCAGUGAAGGUACUAAUCAUUUAUGCAUUGUCCCCGUAAAAAUAAUAAAAUAAAGUACAAUUAAAGUAGUCAAAGUUGGCAGUUGUUCCUGGAUGAGAGAUUUCGUGAUUUUUUUUAAAUUUUUUAAUCUGUCGGGUCAAAUUUGAGCCCAUUUUCAAAAAGUUUCUAUAUCAGAAAUUUGGGUUUCUUUCAACCAAAUUGUCAAAAAGAAAUAAAGUGGAUGUUCAAUACAACGCUCAGUAAGUAAAAUAAAUGAUCUGUCCAUUACUUUCAUUGAAUUUGGGUGUUUUCAAUUUUCUAGCAUUUGAAUUUAUUAUUUUUUUUUUAUAAAAACUUUGAAAAAAGUGACAAAACAUGUCAAAAUAAUCGACAAAAACCUCGGAAAAAGUGAAAAAAAAAAAGCUUCAAGAAUGUCGGCAAAUGCUUCAAAAACGUCAGAAAAAGCUUCAUAAACGUCGGAAAAAGUGAGAAGAAUUUCGGGAAGAGCGACAAAAGUGUCAAAAAAGAAGACUGAAACAUUGAACAGAGAGUUGUAAUUUUAAAUUUCAACCGAGAAAAAACGAAAAGUUGCACGGUCGACUGGAAGACAAAACCGUAAUUGUGUGAACUGGAGUUUCAGCUCUGUUCUUUGUGUUAGACAGAAAACCAAUU